Molecule: non-coding RNA, 73 nt
Organism: Dipodomys ordii (Ord's kangaroo rat)
Lineage: Eukaryota; Metazoa; Chordata; Mammalia; Rodentia; Heteromyidae
Source: Rfam
GGGGAGGUGGCUCAGUGGUAGAGUGCUUGCCUCAUGUACAUGGGGUCCUGGGUUCGAUUCCUCAGCUCUACCU